UACGUAGGGGGCGAGCGUUGUCCGGAUUUAUUGGGCGUAACGAGCUCGUAGGCGGUUGGGUAAGUCGGGUGUGAAAACUCAGGGCUCAACUCUGAGACGCCACUCGAUACUGCCCUGACUCGAGUCCGGUAGGGGAGCGUGGAAUUCCCGGUGUAGCGGUGGAAUGCGCAGAUAUCGGGAGGAACACCAGUGGCGAAGGCGACUACCUGGACAAUUGCUGACACUCAGGCACGAAAGCAUGGGGAGCAAAAGGG
RNAcentral lists this ribosomal RNA (254 nucleotides) under uncultured bacterium. RNAcentral's name for it is "partial 16S ribosomal RNA". It matches the Rfam family "Bacterial small subunit ribosomal RNA", at positions 524 to 776 of the family's 1533-position model. The record is from RNAcentral.